AGUCUGGUUGAGAAGGAGAAGGCGGAGAGAGGUCAUGAAGACCUAGAACAUGGCGAGACCACUCGUCUGCUGGUGACAGCUGUGACAUGUUCCACCACUGGAGAACGCUCCCCAGAGGCGCUGCUGUGACUGGUCAUCCACUCAACAGGCACUCUCUCCACAUCUCUGUGCCGUGCCUGGUGCUAUUAUCCGUGCUGCGGACAAAGGACAGGUUUCCAAGAAAUGCACUGAGCAGGACUGGAGCUGGGAGCCUCUGGUUCAGGCCCCAAGCAGGAAGCGUCGGAUGUGCAUGAGCAAGCAUCCCCCUCUUGCGGCUGAGAGAGGGCAGCUGCUUGGCCUCCCAUCUGGAGGUUCCCUAAUGCUGAUCUAAGGUACUGGAGCAUUCUGAGGCGUCUCCCAGCUCUGGUACCUGUGAAGAGUCACCGUGGGAUCUUCUUCCAGCAAGUUCCUGACCUGAGCCGAACACCUCGUCCUUACUCUUCGGGCCACCAUCUGUGAUCAUAUGUGGAAAAUCCAAAUAUUACCUGUUUGCUCCGCAAAGAAAGGCCAUGGAAGUAAAAUGCACAUCUGCCAGGGGGAUGGACUGAAUAAAUGAUGACGUAUAAUAGAAA
Long non-coding RNA from Hyaena hyaena (striped hyena), 611 nucleotides. RefSeq lists it as uncharacterized. The record is from RefSeq and is a predicted model, not a curated record. NCBI's taxonomy places the organism in Eukaryota, Metazoa, Chordata, Mammalia, Carnivora, Hyaenidae. The transcript is spliced from 4 exons.